UACGGAGGGGGCUAGCGUUGUUCGGAAUUACUGGGCGUAAAGCGCACGUAGGCGGAUUGUUAAGUCGGGGGUGAAAUCCCGGGGCUCAACCCCGGAACUGCCUUCGAUACUGGCAAUCUUGAGUCCGAGAGAGGUGAGUGGAAUGUCGAGUGUAGAGGUGAAAUUCGUAGAUAUUCGACGGAACACCAGUGGCGAAGGCGGCUCACUGGCUCGGUACUGACGCUGAGGUGCGAAAGCGUGGGGAGCAAACAGG
This 253-nucleotide ribosomal RNA is filed under the name uncultured bacterium. RNAcentral describes it as "partial 16S ribosomal RNA". It matches the Rfam family "Bacterial small subunit ribosomal RNA", at positions 524 to 776 of the family's 1533-position model. The record is from RNAcentral.